AUCGUAUCGGCAGGGGUUUUCGCUCUCUUUCAGCAUUUCUCAGAGAGAAGAGGUUGCGAGAGAUCUUGUUUCGCUGCGAUCGAUCUUAUCGGCAGGUUUUGGCUCUCUUUCAGCAUUUCUCUUGGAGGUGGAGAGAAGAAGUUCUUUUUCUUGAGAGCUUGGGAGAUGGCUUCGAAGAAAAAUUUCCAGAGAUAAAUGGAUCGAACUCAAGCAUGCCAUGCCAAAUUCAAGGUC
Long non-coding RNA from Selaginella moellendorffii, 234 nucleotides. RefSeq lists it as uncharacterized. The transcript has 2 exons. The record is from RefSeq and is a predicted model, not a curated record. NCBI's taxonomy places the organism in Eukaryota, Viridiplantae, Streptophyta, Lycopodiopsida, Selaginellales, Selaginellaceae.